UACGUAGGGUGCAAGCGUUGUCCGGAAUUAUUGGGCGUAAAGAGCUCGUAGGCGGUUCGUCGCGUCGGCUGUGAAAUCCCGAGGCUCAACCUCGGGUCUGCAGUCGAUACGGGCGGACUUGAGUACUGCAGGGGAGACUGGAAUUCCUGGUGUAGCGGUGAAAUGCGCAGAUAUCGGGAGGAACACCGGUGGCGAAGGCGGUUCUCUGGGCCUGUACUGACGCUGAGGAGCGAAAGCGUGGGGAGCGAACAGG
RNAcentral lists this ribosomal RNA (253 nucleotides) under uncultured bacterium. RNAcentral's name for it is "partial 16S ribosomal RNA". It matches the Rfam family "Bacterial small subunit ribosomal RNA", at positions 524 to 776 of the family's 1533-position model. The record is from RNAcentral.